AUGGCCAUCCCAUCCACGAGUGACGACGUUGUCACGGCUUCUGAAUUGCCGCCAUGUGCUUCCUAUCCAGGGGGCCUUUGCUGCAGCAGCAACACCGAAGGUGCGCCGGCGAGUUGUUCGGGAGAGCAAGGGAAGCGACAAGAAGUGCCGGUGUUGUCGCCACCGGAAUCGGCUGGGCUCGAGGGAGACCAAGGGACCUUGGAGACGGUGGUCGUCGUCGAGGAGAUAACCUGCCGUGGAGUAGAUGAGGAGGAGCUGGAGAAGCUAGAGAUCGACGAGCUGAACAGAAAGUUUGAGCAUUUCAUCCAAAGCAGAAGAAUCAAAUGGCUUAAGGAGGAGGAGCAAGUAUUGCACUGCCAGCAGAACCUCGACGUGGGAGCAGUAUCAUGCAAAUUAGUCCUCUAUGCACGUCGUGAUCCCUUCCGGCUCUCAUGUUUCUGUUGUAACUAA
This 450-nucleotide ribosomal RNA is filed under the name Triticum aestivum (bread wheat). Its description in RNAcentral is "partial small subunit ribosomal RNA". The record is from RNAcentral. Lineage: Eukaryota; Viridiplantae; Streptophyta; Magnoliopsida; Poales; Poaceae.